RNAcentral lists this ribosomal RNA (196 nucleotides) under Pseudoxanthomonas sp. enrichment culture. RNAcentral's name for it is "partial 16S ribosomal RNA". It matches the Rfam family "Bacterial small subunit ribosomal RNA", at positions 337 to 525 of the family's 1533-position model. Lineage: Bacteria; Pseudomonadati; Pseudomonadota; Gammaproteobacteria; Lysobacterales; Lysobacteraceae. The record is from RNAcentral.
UCCUACGGGAGGCAGCAGUGGGGAAUAUUGGACAAUGGGCGAAAGCCUGAUCCAGCCAUGCCGCGUGGGUGAAGAAGGCCUUCGGGUUGUAAAGCCCUUUUGUUGGGGAAGAAAUCCUGCUGGCUAAUACCCGGCGGGGAUGACGGUACCCAAAGAAUAAGCACCGGCUAACUUCGUGCCAGCAGCCGCGGUAAUA